This 497-nucleotide ribosomal RNA is filed under the name uncultured bacterium. RNAcentral's name for it is "partial 16S ribosomal RNA". It matches the Rfam family "Bacterial small subunit ribosomal RNA", at positions 28 to 507 of the family's 1533-position model. The record is from RNAcentral.
GAUGAACGCUGGCGGCGUGCCUAAUACAUGCAAGUCGAGCGAACGGACGAGAAGCUUGCUUCUCUGAUGUUAGCGGCGGACGGGUGAGUAACACGUGGAUAACCUACCUAUAAGACUGGGAUAACUUCGGGAAACCGGAGCUAAUACCGGAUAAUAUUUUGAACCGCAUGGUUCAAAAGUGAAAGACGGUCUUGCUGUCACUUAUAGCUGGAUCCGCGCUGCAUUAGCUAGUUGGUAAGGUAACGGCUUACCAAGGCAACGAUGCAUAGCCGACCUGAGAGGGUGAUCGGCCACACUGGAACGGAGACACGGUCCAGACUACUACGGGAGGCAGCAGUAGGGAAUGUGCGGCAAUGGGCGAAAGCCUGACGGAGCAAGGCCGCGUGAGUGAUGAAGGUCUUCGGAUCGGAAAACUCUGUUAUUAGGGAAGAACAUAUGUGUAAGUAAAUGUGCACAUCUUGACGGUACCUAAUCAGAAAGCAACGGCUAACUACGUG